This 491-nucleotide long non-coding RNA is filed under the name Mytilus galloprovincialis (Mediterranean mussel). Lineage: Eukaryota; Metazoa; Mollusca; Bivalvia; Mytilida; Mytilidae. The record is from RNAcentral.
UAAUUUAUUUGUAGAUUCAGAGGAGAGUAUGAUAUACACUGCUACUCCAUGUACACCUCAACCUAUCAAAGCUCCAGAAAAAGAAAGAGAGGACAGUACUUGAGAAAAGAAAGCGGGACAAGUUCCCAGAAGGAAAAAAGGGAAGCCAACAGAAUCAAAAAGAUUUACCACAGGAGAAGAAAUGCAAAUUACAAGGAAUUGCUCCAUUUAAAAAUGGACACCCAGUGGGAGGGGAUAGUUAUUUUGAGAUCGAAAGAUAAAACGAAAAUAGUUUGCGGGGGAACAGAUACGGAACUAGAAGAAAGGUUUUUCCAGCAGGAAAUUCUUGUUGACAAUUUGGACAAAAUAAAAAAAUAAAUAUGCACAAAAUUGACAUGUCUAGUGUCAUGCUUAAACUGGCUUCAGUUGGCAAAAGGAUGGAAUCAGUUCGUAAUCACCUAAUCCAUCGCCAUCAAAGGUUUCUGAUAUUGCAAGGGAUAUGUUACCAGGGC